Molecule: unclassified non-coding RNA, 1468 nt
Filed under: Hevea brasiliensis (rubber tree)
Lineage: Eukaryota; Viridiplantae; Streptophyta; Magnoliopsida; Malpighiales; Euphorbiaceae
Source: RNAcentral
AAUCUCCUCAUUUCUUUGUAUCUUCGUCCCCUUUGAUUGCCGGCGGCACACAAUCAGCAAAAAGAAAAACAACCCUAGAACCCCUUUUCUUUCUGCUAAGUUUUUGCACAAAAUCCAAUCUUUUAAAGGGUUGGUUCUUUUUGAUGUUUAAUGUUCUGCAAAAAAAUUUUUUCUGCAAGAUAGGAACGAAGCACGGAAAGAAAUUGAGCAUCAAGCGUUCUAGUUUGGUCUGUUAACUCAGGGAAAUUGGAUUUUUGCUUAAUGGAUUAACAAUAAGGAUGUCUGCUUUUCAUGAUUUUGCAUCAGAGACUUUGAUUUUGAUUUUGCACAAAAUGUUACUUCCUUGCUGCUGAUCAUAAGUUGGGAGUAAUAUUUGAUUGCUAAUGGAUCGUAAGGAUACUUCAGGAUUCGUUAGUGGGGGUGGGAUGUGUUCUUGUGGACACAUCUAACCCUAGUUUACAAUUAACUUUUCUUAAGCCCGGGAGUCAGGUUGACUGUUCUUUUUCAAUUGAGAUUUGGUUCAAAUAGAAGUUUUUAUACCAGCUAUUAGUUUAUGGAUCCGAGAUUCCGCUAUGUGGGGUUUACCGUUAACCCUCAGUUAAGUGCAUUCAAGAAUCUGGGCAAAUCCAUCGCAGUUGGUGAAGCUGGAGUUGGGGGUAGUUAUUGUGCUGAUACCACCUUACGGCUUGAUUCAAUUUGCUCUUCAGUUCCGUCCAUCCCUGCCCCAAAAGGAAUCAAACGAAAAUGGAGUUCACUUGGUGUAUCUAACGAUCAGCCAAUUGGUUCAUCUUUGUGUCUACGUUUAGGACAUUCAUCAAGUUCGUCAGAUAGCAAGGGGAGCUCAGGUGCUGCAUGCACUUCUAUAUGCUCAGCAAUAGAAAAUGAUGAAGAGUCCUCAAUGGACCUGGACUUAGACUUUAGUCUCCAUCUUGGUAGUGAGAAGACUUCAAGCUCUAGAAAGUCUACUCAUCCUGAGUCCAAAAAACUUGCCAAAGGCCUUGCAGUUGAUCUGGAACUAAGUCUCUCUAGUGGUGCUGCUGAAUCUGAUGUCACCACUGUGCAUUUGCUCUCCACUUCACCACAAAGUAUCAUGAAGGCGCCGCAGGAGAUGACUGGAGCUUUUCACACUGAUGAAGUAUCAACAGCUGUACAUUGGAAGCCCAGCGACAUUUUCCAUCCAUUACGAACUUCACAGGGAACUGAGGCUAGUUAUUUAUUGAACCAGGAUGCAACACAAUUCAAGCAAGCUACAGUCUCCCCAAAUCUGUCGUCAAGUAUAAUCACAAAUUCAAAGAGCUCAGUCACCUGUACUUCCGGGUUAACAAACCAGCAGCAACAACAACAGCAACGUAGCAGUAGUACUAAACAGUGUCAGUUCAAGGGAUGCGUAAAAGGAGCAAGAGGUGCUUCUGGCCUUUGCAUCGCCCACGGUGGGGGCCGCAGGUGUCAGAAACCAGGCUGCCACAAG